RNAcentral lists this ribosomal RNA (702 nucleotides) under Pseudomonas sp. RNAcentral describes it as "bacterial SSU rRNA". It matches the Rfam family "Bacterial small subunit ribosomal RNA", at positions 8 to 703 of the family's 1533-position model. Lineage: Bacteria; Pseudomonadati; Pseudomonadota; Gammaproteobacteria; Pseudomonadales; Pseudomonadaceae. The record is from RNAcentral.
AGAGUUUUGAUCCUGGCUCAGAUUGAACGCUGGCGGCAGGCCUAACACAUGCAAGUCGAGCGGAUGAGAAGAGCUUGCUCUUCGAUUCAGCGGCGGACGGGUGAGUAAUGCCUAGGAAUCUGCCUGGUAGUGGGGGACAACGUUUCGAAAGGAACGCUAAUACCGCAUACGUCCUACGGGAGAAAGCAGGGGACCUUCGGGCCUUGCGCUAUCAGAUGAGCCUAGGUCGGAUUAGCUAGUUGGUGAGGUAAUGGCUCACCAAGGCGACGAUCCGUAACUGGUCUGAGAGGAUGAUCAGUCACACUGGAACUGAGACACGGUCCAGACUCCUACGGGAGGCAGCAGUGGGGAAUAUUGGACAAUGGGCGAAAGCCUGAUCCAGCCAUGCCGCGUGUGUGAAGAAGGUCUUCGGAUUGUAAAGCACUUUAAGUUGGGAGGAAGGGCAUUAACCUAAUACGUUAGUGUUUGACGUACGACAGAUAGCACCGGCUAACUCUGUGCCUGUGCCAGCAGCCGCGGUAAUACAGAGGGUGCAAGCGUUAAUCGGAAUUACUGGGCGUAAAGCGCGCGUAGGUGGUUUGUUAAGUUGGAUGUGAAAGCCCCGGGCUCAACCUGGGAACUGCAUCCAAAACUGGCAAGCUAGAGUACGGUAGAGGGUGGUGGAAUUUCCUGUGUAGCGGUGAAAUGCGUAGAUAUAGGAAG